AUGGGUCUAAGAAAGUACAGUGCCGCGAGGAGCGGUGAAAACCCUAGCCAAUCCUCUCUCGUCCCCGCGCCUCCAUUCUCCUCCCUCCACGCUAUCCUCCCGCGCCUCCCUCAUAGCCCCGGCGCGGCGCCGCCUCCACCACCUCCUCCUCUCUCUGCUUGCCUCCUCUCUCGCUCAAGAAGGCGGACCGAGCGGCGGCGGCAUAUUGUCCGUAGAUGGAGAAGGCGGACACGAGCGGCGGCGCCAUCUUGUCCGCGGAUGGCAGACGUGUUUCUUGCCGCCGCCGCUGCUCCUCUCCCUCGCCUCCUCUGCGACGCUUCCUCCUCUUCUCUUCUCCCGCUCCAGUCAUGGCGAUGGCGGCCGGGCAGGGAAGCGGCGGCCGGGCCAGGCAGGGCGGCGGCGGCCGGGAACGGAGAAGCGGCCGGGCUGGGAGAGCGUCCUCGUCGCCUUCAACCUCCCCACGCGAGAGAGGAAAAAGUAGGGACGGUGAAGCCUUGGGUUACAUGA
Molecule: ribosomal RNA, 507 nt
Filed under: Triticum aestivum (bread wheat)
Lineage: Eukaryota; Viridiplantae; Streptophyta; Magnoliopsida; Poales; Poaceae
Description: partial small subunit ribosomal RNA
Source: RNAcentral